UACCAUCAUCAACCCAACAUUCCUCAUCAACAGUCCAAAAGACACAACCUGUGGUCCAACCAACCCCAAGAGUAGUCCAUCCUACUCCAUCACUAGUCCAAGAAACAACAAUAGAGGUCCAACCUUCCCAAGUAACAACACCAACAGUAGUUUAAGAAACAAUGAGAGUGGUCCAACCUUCCCAAUUGACUGCACCAACAACCAUCCAAGAAACAACAAGAGUGGUCCAACCGCCUCAAAUGACGGCACCGACAGCAAUUCAAGAAACAAGAAGAGUGGUCCAAUCACCUUCAUUAGUGACCGCACCGGCAAGAGUCCAAGCGACACCACAACCUUCCAUAGAGGAGGCGAAUCUUACAAACAAUGUUGAGGGGGAUCACCUACAUAAUGAACAAGAUGUCCAUUAGGAUGAUAAUGUUACGAAGAUCAAGAUACGCCAUCUUGGUGAAGGAAAUAUGUUUCAUGGGAGCCUCAUCAUGAGAAGAAAAUCAGAGAGAUAUUUGAUAAAAAAAAUGUCCUAAACGCCUUACUGACAUGCUUACAAAAGUGAGAGACAAGGAGGAAAGACCUAGAUGGAUGGGAGAGGAUGCAUAUAAGGGCCUUCUUAAACAUUGGGAGAGUGAUGGUUUCAAAAAGAUGUAUUCACAAAACAAGAAUAAUAGGAGUUCAAGUAAGGGAGGAGCUGUCCAUAGCACAGGACGGAAGGCUCAUCACGACAUUGCACUUGAUAUGAGAAAAAUACUUGGACAAGUUGUCUAUCCUGAUGAGCUUUUUUGGCUACCUAUUAGAAGAAGUCAGGCGAUUGGGUUGAUAGUCGUGCUGAAAAAACUUAUGUAAGUUAUUUGCUUGUAG
Vicia villosa (hairy vetch) is the source of this 852-nucleotide RNA transcript. RefSeq lists it as uncharacterized. The transcript is spliced from 3 exons. The record is from RefSeq and is a predicted model, not a curated record. NCBI's taxonomy places the organism in Eukaryota, Viridiplantae, Streptophyta, Magnoliopsida, Fabales, Fabaceae.